UGAACAUGAAAAAUCAGUCUGAGAGUCCCCAUCUGCCUGGUGAUCACCUGUUUGAAGUGGCUGUUGAGGUGACUUUCAGUCACAAUGUGGAGGAAUCCUGGGACAACCUGGCUCGGCUGCUGCUGCUGUCAGUCAAGACUUUGAUCAGCAAACAGCUGGAAGCUCUUCAAACAAAACCGUCCCUCUCAUCAAAAAGAAUAAAAAGG
Long non-coding RNA from Cyprinodon variegatus (sheepshead minnow), 206 nucleotides. RefSeq lists it as uncharacterized. NCBI's taxonomy places the organism in Eukaryota, Metazoa, Chordata, Actinopteri, Cyprinodontiformes, Cyprinodontidae. The transcript has 3 exons. The record is from RefSeq and is a predicted model, not a curated record.